UUUUGCUGGACGGUUAUACAUCCUUUAUUUUUUGUGGUCAAAGUCACUGGGAUUUUGCACACAAAAGACUGUAGAUGCUCAGUUUUUAAGUAUGUUCAAGCCUGCUGAGAAAUGCUUUGCGCAUCGGGGGAAACAAGGCUUGUGGGAAGAUGUACAAUACUGAAAGCUAACCAAAUUUUCAUUAUGUUUUUUAUCAAGACGUGUACUCGCUCCUGCUCUUCCUUUGUUCAUCAAAGGGUGACUAAGGAGAAAGUGUCCAACAACCAUCAUCGGUGAAGUUAUCGGUCCGCAUUGCAGAGGCUGCAGAUUUCUACACCAACGCCUACCGUCUGUUUGACUGCGGGAAUGCUGGAAGAGUUGAAAUGUUAUCUCAUCUUCCCAGAGACUGCAUUUAGAAUGAUUGAGUUCAUGGCUUUAGGCAUCUUCAGUUGGGAAUCUAUAGCUCUUGUGAUCCACAAAAUUUUAGAAUUACAGCUCUGGGAGCUCACAGUGUUUUGAUUCACAACAUUUACAAUAUUUCUGUUCCU
Molecule: long non-coding RNA, 527 nt
Organism: Hypanus sabinus (Atlantic stingray)
Lineage: Eukaryota; Metazoa; Chordata; Chondrichthyes; Myliobatiformes; Dasyatidae
Exons: 3
Source: RefSeq, a predicted model, not a curated record